GACAAAAGAUGCCAGACGGCAUUUCCAAACAAAGGUAUCAAGCCCUAGAACUUCUUUCCAUGAGAUGGGUACACUUCGAAUGUGCAAAUUUGUGGUGAGGAAUUCAAGACCAAUUCUGAAUUGCGUAGGCAUGUAUAAAGGAAACAUCAGUCAGAAAAAUUGUCUUCGUUUGUGACCAGUGCAACACACGCUUUUGCCCAUUAUAAAAGAAACUCGAAGUAAAAAAUACAUUGUUUUCUUAAUACACGAGGUGCAUACAUACAUGUAUACCAUGGCAGCCGUUUUAUAUAUUCGUUUAUGUACAUUGUGAAACGAUUAUUUUUACGGUAUUAUGCUUUGUUUUACAGAGAUACUACUAAUCUUUUACAUUGCAUUUUACACAUGUUGAUUUGUCAUUUCAUUGAACCUAAGUUUUACGUGUUAUUAAAUAUAUUUCAAUGUUA
Molecule: long non-coding RNA, 443 nt
Organism: Ostrea edulis (European flat oyster)
Lineage: Eukaryota; Metazoa; Mollusca; Bivalvia; Ostreida; Ostreidae
Exons: 2
Source: RefSeq, a predicted model, not a curated record